This 437-nucleotide ribosomal RNA is filed under the name bacterium 221. RNAcentral describes it as "bacterial SSU rRNA". It matches the Rfam family "Bacterial small subunit ribosomal RNA", at positions 958 to 1392 of the family's 1533-position model. The record is from RNAcentral.
AACGCGAAGAACCUUACCAGGUCUUGACAUCCAACUAACGAGGCAGAGAUGCGUUAGGUGCCCUUCGGGGAAAGUUGAGACAGGUGGUGCAUGGUUGUCGUCAGCUCGUGUCGUGAGAUGUUGGGUUAAGUCCCGCAACGAGCGCAACCCUUAUCCUUUGUUGCCAGCGGUCCGGCCGGGAACUCAAAGGAGACUGCCAGUGAUAAACUGGAGGAAGGUGGGGAUGACGUCAAGUCAUCAUGGCCCUUACGACCAGGGCUACACACGUGCUACAAUGGCAUAUACAAAGAGAAGCAAACUCGCGAGAGCAAGCGGACCUCAUAAAGUAUGCCGUAGUCCGGAUUGGAGUCUGCAACUCGACUCCAUGAAGUCGGAAUCGCUAGUAAUCGUGGAUCAGAAUGCCACGGUGAAUACGUUCCCGGGUCUUGUACACACCG